RNAcentral lists this transfer RNA (72 nucleotides) under Trichuris muris. RNAcentral describes it as "snRNA TMUE_0100000432". It matches the Rfam family "tRNA". From Rfam's summary of the family: Transfer RNA (tRNA) molecules are approximately 80 nucleotides in length. Their secondary structure includes four short double-helical elements and three loops (D, anti-codon, and T loops). Lineage: Eukaryota; Metazoa; Nematoda; Enoplea; Trichinellida; Trichuridae. The record is from RNAcentral.
UCUUCGGCAGUAUAGUGGUGAGUAUUCCCACCUGUCACGCGGGCGACCCGGGUUCGAUUCCCGACCGAGGAG